RNAcentral lists this unclassified non-coding RNA (208 nucleotides) under plant metagenome. Its description in RNAcentral is "partial contains small subunit ribosomal RNA, internal transcribed spacer 1, and 5.8S ribosomal RNA". The record is from RNAcentral.
UUUCCGUAGGUGAACCUGCGGAAGGAUCAUUCGUAAUAAGUGUUUUAUGGCACUUUUUUAAAUCCAUAUCCACCUUGUGUGCAAUGUCAGGGUUGGUCUCUUUUUGAUCAGCCCCAAACAUCAACUAUUAUCUCAACUCUUUGUCUGAAAAAUAUUAUGAAUAAAACAAUUCAAAAUACAACUUUCAACAACGGAUCUCUUGGCUCUC